UGCGCAAGAUCCAUGGCCCCAACCUCACCAUUUGGUGUUCUUCCUGCAGCGGGAAGCUGGAACACAGGGUCCUGCAUGGCCCUCGAGGUGACCUACAAGGUGGUGGCAGCCAGUUGAGAGCCAGGACAGUUUCACUUUUGUUGCCCAGGCUGGAGUGCAAUGGCUCGAUCUCGGCUCAAUGUAACCUCUGACUCCUGGUUUCAAGUGAUUUGCCUGCUUCAGCCUCCCAACCAGCUGGGAUUACAGAUGGGUUCUUGCUCUAUCACCCAGGAUGGAGUCCAAUGCUGUGAUGACAGCUCACUGCAGCCUUGACCUCCUGGGCUCAAGAGAUCCUCCUGCCUCAGUCUCCUGAGUAGCUGGGACUACAGGUUAUGCCUUGAUGAACUGUGAUGAAACCAUCACCGUAAUAAAAAUAGUAAAAAUACCCAUCCUCCAGAAAGCUUCCUCGUGCCCUUUUGUAAUUUAUUAUACUAAUUUCAGUUAUUCUAUUUUUCAGGUCUAAAAUUCUAUUUUAUUCCUUUUUUAAAACUGCUGUCUUUUAUUGUAACUAUAAUAAAAUAAAACUAUUCCACA
This is a non-coding RNA of Callithrix jacchus (white-tufted-ear marmoset), 573 nucleotides long. The record is from RefSeq and is a predicted model, not a curated record. NCBI's taxonomy places the organism in Eukaryota, Metazoa, Chordata, Mammalia, Primates, Cebidae.